Long non-coding RNA from Pyrgilauda ruficollis (rufous-necked snowfinch), 2955 nucleotides. RefSeq lists it as uncharacterized. The record is from RefSeq and is a predicted model, not a curated record. The transcript has 3 exons. NCBI's taxonomy places the organism in Eukaryota, Metazoa, Chordata, Aves, Passeriformes, Passeridae.
AGACACCUCACCAGCCCUGGAGAGUGGCUUAAACUGUGAGAUCCUGACAAAGUGAUCCUCAGGACUGGCUCUCUAAAUCUGCCAAACUGAAGGACCAGUUUGGAUUAACUCUCAAAAUUAACACGCCAACAAUCAGAUUGCUUACCUGUCCAAGAUGAAUGUCAAACCUGAGGGCUCUAAUGUGUUAGCAACAGGGAAAUUUAUAAGCCCAUGUUUUUGCCAUGGCAUGCUGUCACUGUGGAAAUUGCUGCCAUUCCAUAUACCUGAAGAUUAUGGCUCUGGAUAAAGAGGAAAUAGACUGCCAAGCAAACAGAACUUUUUGUGCUGGAAACAGAUGAGGGCAACGGGAGCUGAGGAUGCAGAAUCUAAUUUGUGGUGGGAAUUUUCCCAGAACUGGAAAGGCAGGAACUCAGGAUAUGGUCUCCAGGUCUGUUCCUGACCCAGUCCUAAGGAUGAUGGAUAUGGCAGGCCAUGCCACAGCCAUCCAUUGUCUACAAGUUUAUUUAGAGGGGGAAAAGGAAGUGAAACAGAUAUAAGUGAUAUCUGACAUUUUCCUUUGAAAAUGAAAAAUAUUUGAGAUUACUGAGAUGUGAUUUCUUACAUGAACUGCUGUUUUGUCUUCUGUAUUCUUCUUUUGUCUUUUUUUUCCCCACCUCCCUAGCUGAAAGUCUGUAGCAAUUCUGCCAGAAGAAAAACUUUGACAAAACUCACAGAAGUGUUCACAUCUGCAUGCAAAUGAAGGUGGUGAGAGUCAGUUGGCAUGGAAAUGAAGAAAACAUGUCAUCUGGAAUAAAUGCAAAUAUCUGUUUUAAAUGCCAACCUUAACUAUUUUGCUGCUGAUCAAAAAAUGAAAGAAAGCUGAGAUGCUCAAUGGACAAAGGAGGAAAAUUUGCAUUGGCUCUCAUCUUUGUGAAGCCAGUGAAAAAUACCUGAGUGGAUAGCUUCCCUGAGUUUUUAAUUAUGAUUGUUUAUGGAGAAUGGAAGAAGAGAAAGGAAAAAUACUAGAGAAGAAAGGUGUGUCCUUUGGACUGAAUAAUUAGUGAUUGACACCAAGAAUCUGAACACAGCAUCCAAGCUCAACAGAGAAGAUAAAACCUGACACUCCUAAAUUCUGCUAGGAGUUAAGGGUACAGAAAGCACACCUUUCUCCCAGCUGAGUUUGAAUACCAGAACUCAGAAACAAAAAUCACAUAUUUAGCUGCAGCAGCACUUUAAGUGGGUGGAUUGAAGGAAAAGAUGGACUUGAAUGAUAAAAACUCUUUUCCAAGCUGGGAAGAUAAAGUGUGUUGUGUUCCUUCUAAGAUAUUACCAUUGCCUUCAAGUUACCACUGCCUGGACCAGGCACUGGGGUAAAAAGUUUGGAGAUGAGAAGAUCUCAGCCAUGAUUCAUACUUUGUAGUACAGUGAAAGAAUUAAAAUAAUUAUGGUUUCUGAAAAAGAAAUAAGCUCAAUUAAUGCUUUGAAUGCCCUUAUUAAGCUUUGUUUUCAUGAUAUACCUCUCUAUAAUGGUUUUGGUUGUCUCCUGGGUCACUGUUUUCUUAAUUAAUCAUAGUUUAGUUGGUUUUUACUGUUGUUAUUAUUAUAACUGUGGUUGCAAAACUUUGAAAUAUGACACAGUGAAGACUAAUGAGCUAUUGUGAAUAAGGAAUGAAGGUUACUUGGUUUAAAUCAUAUUUGGAAGAGUGAGUUUGGUUCAUGAGCUGCUAUGACCUGGAUUUUCACUAGAUAGGGUUCAUUUUAAGGUAGCAUGAGAACAAAAUGUUUUCUUUAAUGCUGGCAAGAUACUUCUUUUAAUUUGCAAGAACCACCUCACUGCACUUUGAGGAAAACUUCCUUCAUUAUAUUUUUAUAUCAAGAUGUUUUUAUUUUUAAAAUUUAUAUAUAUAUAAUAACCAAGUGUGUUUAUGUGCAUUUAGAAGUUAAAAUGUAAUUUCUAUUGUGAAAAUUGGAUUUGUUAAAAACCAAAAAAGUUCCAGUAGGCCAUGAAAAAACAGUACCCAGUAAAGAGCAUCAAAUACACAUCAAGGACAAGUUCUUGGAUGAACUUUUUCUGUGCUGCUCGUUGAUCUCAUGUUGUGAAGCAGAGAACAGCUGAGUUUCCUGUAGUCCUAUGAGGUGUGAUGGCUAUUGGACCACAGCAUUUCCUUUAAUUACAGCUGGACACGUCAGUGCCUUGUGGUCAGUGUGACUUAAAAAGGAGAAAAUAGAAAUGCCAGGUCUUUGUGCAUAGUCUUUUGGGCUGUUGUAUGAAGAGAGAAUUAUUUAUGAGAACAUGCUGUGUCACUGAAGUUAUCAGAGGUCUUUGUUAGGAGUUGGGUUUGGUUUGUUUGCCUUUUUGGGUUUUAUUCCUUUUUUUUUCUAAAAUGCUGCCAGGAAAAGAGAUGUUCUGGUACAUGGAUAAUGAGGCAUUGCAUCAAAACUAUUUCUUAAGCAUAAGUAGUCACAAUGAAUAUUGCCAAGAGUGGUGAGUUAUCCGGAACACUUGAUUUUUAAAACAACACCUUUUCCCACACAUCCAUAGAGUUGUACUCAAGAAAAAUGCUGUGGUCCCACUUGUUUGUUUUACAAAAAACCCAGACUGCUGCCCUGAGUUUCAGAUUAGGAUUACUUCAGAUUAAGAUUUAGCAGCUUGCACAGGCUGCACUACAAAGCAUCUCCUUGACCAUAACCUUGCCGUGCCCACCCCAAAAACUGCACAGGCAAAACUGUGGUUCCCAUGGAGUGAUUCGUGCCAAAAAGAUAUUUUUAUGGGCUCAGAUCUGCAGGCUGAUGCGUGCCAGGAAGCACAGCCAGGGCUUUGCCUGUUUCCCACCUCGUCAGGUGUGGAAGAGGUUUUACAGGGACUCGUGUGAGCCAGGGGGAAGUUUGAUAAGAGGAUCCAUGUUUACCCCUGGAAGAAUUUCCUACCAGGUCAUUGACAUAGAAACCAAGAAAGAAAGAAGGAUAAAUAAGAGA